This 451-nucleotide ribosomal RNA is filed under the name uncultured bacterium. RNAcentral describes it as "partial 16S ribosomal RNA". It matches the Rfam family "Bacterial small subunit ribosomal RNA", at positions 29 to 523 of the family's 1533-position model. The record is from RNAcentral.
AACGAACGCUGGCGGCAGGUCUUAGGCAUGCAAGUCGAACGGGUGUAGUAAUACACCAGUGGCGAACGAGUGAGUAACGCGUGGGAAUCUGCCCAUCUCUGGGGAAUAACGUUUGGAAACGAACGCUAAUACCGCAUACGCCCGCAAGGGGGCAGUUGUAUCGGAGAUGGAUGAGCCCGCGUUGGAUUAGGUAGUUGGUGGGGUAACGGACUACGAAGGCGAUGAUCCAUAACUGGUCUGAGAGGACGAUCAGCCACGCUGGAACUGAGAUACGGGCCAGACUCAUACGGGAGGCAGCAGCUAAGAAUAUUGGGCAAUGGAGGAAACUCUGACCCAGCCAUGCCGCGUGAAUGAAGAAGGCCUUCGGGUUGUAAAGUUCUUUUAGUCGUGACGAUGAUGACGGUAGCGACAGAAAAAGCACCGGCUAACUUCGUGCCAGCAGCCGCAGUAA